CCUACGGGAGGCAGCAGUGAGGAAUAUUGGUCAAUGGACGCGAGUCUGAACCAGCCAAGUAGCGUGAAGGAUGACUGCCCUCUGGUUUGUAAACUUCUUUUAUAUGGGAAUAAAAUGUUCCACGUGUGGGGUUUUGUAUGUACCAUAUGAAUAAGGAUCGGCUAACUCCGUGCCAGCAGCCGCGGUAAUACUGAGGAUCCGAGCGUUAUCCGGAUUUAUUGGGUUUAAGGGGAGCGUAGGUGGGUUGUUAAGUCAGUUGUGAAAGUGUGCGGCUCAACCGUAAAAUUGCAGUUGAAACUGGCAGUCUUGAGUACAGUAGAGGUGGGCGGAAUUCGUGGUGUAGCGGUGAAAUGCUUAGAUAUCACGAAGAACUCCGAUUGCGAAGGCAGAUCACUGGACUGCAACUGACACUGAGGCUCGAAAGUGUGGGUAUCAAACAGGAUUAGAUACCCCUGUAGUC
RNAcentral lists this ribosomal RNA (460 nucleotides) under uncultured bacterium. RNAcentral's name for it is "partial 16S ribosomal RNA". It matches the Rfam family "Bacterial small subunit ribosomal RNA", at positions 338 to 795 of the family's 1533-position model. The record is from RNAcentral.